CAGUCGCCGCGGUAACACGAAGUGUGCAAGCGUUAAUCGGAAUUACUGGGCGUAAAGCGUGCGUAGGCGGUGAGUUAAGUCUGCUGUGAAAUCCCCGGGCUCAACCUGGGAAUGGCAGUGGAUACUGGCUCGCUAGAGUGUGUCAGAGGAUGGUGGAAUUCCCGGUGUAGCGGUGAAAUGCGUAGAGAUCGGGAGGAACAUCAGUGGCGAAGGCGGCCAUCUGGGACAACACUGACGCUGAGGCACGAAAGCGUGGGGAGCAAACAGGAUUAGAUACCCGCGUAGUCCCUGUCUCUUAUAU
Molecule: ribosomal RNA, 301 nt
Filed under: uncultured bacterium
Lineage: Bacteria
Description: partial 16S ribosomal RNA
Rfam family: Bacterial small subunit ribosomal RNA
Source: RNAcentral